Molecule: ribosomal RNA, 305 nt
Filed under: uncultured bacterium
Lineage: Bacteria
Description: bacterial SSU rRNA
Rfam family: Bacterial small subunit ribosomal RNA
Source: RNAcentral
UUGCCUACGGGGGGCAGCAGUGAGGAAUAUUGGUCAAUGGACGAGAGUCUGAACCAGCCAAGUAGCGUGAAGGAUGACUGCCCUAUGGGUUGUAAACCUCUUUUGUCGGGGAGCAAAAGACGCCACGCGUGGCGUUCCGAGAGUACCCGAAGAAAAAGCAUCGGCUAACUCCGUGCCAGCAGCCGCGGUAAUACGGAGGAUGCGAGCGUUAUCCGGAUUUAUUGGGUUUAAAGGGUGCGCAGGCGGAAGAUCAAGUCAGCGGUAAAAUUGAGAGGCUCAACCUCUUCGAGCCGUUGAAACUGGUU